GUUUUAAUAGUUUAACCAAAACAUUGGUCUUGUAAACCAAAAUUAAGAAUAUUCUUUUGAAACU
Molecule: transfer RNA, 64 nt
Filed under: Satanas sp. KW-2016
Lineage: Eukaryota; Metazoa; Arthropoda; Insecta; Diptera; Asilidae
Description: tRNA-Thr
Rfam family: tRNA
About the family: Transfer RNA (tRNA) molecules are approximately 80 nucleotides in length. Their secondary structure includes four short double-helical elements and three loops (D, anti-codon, and T loops).
Source: RNAcentral